GAUGAACGCUAGCUACAGGCUUAACACAUGCAAGUCGAGGGGCAGCAUGAACAUAGCUUGCUAUGUUUGAUGGCGACCGGCGCACGGGUGCGUAACACGUAUCCAAUCUGCCCGUUACUCGGGGAUAGCCUUCUGAAAGGAAGAUUAAUACCCGAUGGCAUGUAUUUCCGGCAUCGGAGAUACAUUAAAGAUUUAUCGGUAACGGAUGAGGAUGCGUACGAUUAGCUGGUUGGCGGGUAACGGCCCACCGAGGCGACGAUCGUUAGGGGUUCUGAGAGGAAGGUCCCCCACACUGGAACUGAGACACGGUCCAGACUCCUACGGGAGGCAGCAGUGAGGAAUAUUGGUCAAUGGGCGGGAGCCUGAACCAGCCAAGUCGCGUGAGGGAAGACGGCCCUACGGGUUGUAAACCUUCUUUAGUCGGGGAGCAAAAAGGAUCACGCGUGGUCCAUUGAGCGUACCCGAAGAAUAAGCAUCGGCUAACUCCGUG
RNAcentral lists this ribosomal RNA (490 nucleotides) under uncultured bacterium. RNAcentral describes it as "bacterial SSU rRNA". It matches the Rfam family "Bacterial small subunit ribosomal RNA", at positions 28 to 507 of the family's 1533-position model. The record is from RNAcentral.